This 670-nucleotide ribosomal RNA is filed under the name Dothideomycetes sp. TRN431. Its description in RNAcentral is "eukaryotic LSU rRNA". It matches the Rfam family "Eukaryotic large subunit ribosomal RNA", at positions 151 to 847 of the family's 3401-position model. The record is from RNAcentral. Lineage: Eukaryota; Fungi; Ascomycota; Dothideomycetes.
GUAGAGGAUGCUUCUGGGCAGCGGCCGGUCUAAGUUCCUUGGAACAGGACGUCAUAGAGGGUGAGAAUCCCGUAUGCGACCGGUUGGCACCCGUCACGUAGCUCCUUCGACGAGUCGAGUUGUUUGGGAAUGCAGCUCUAAAUGGGUGGUAAAUUCCAUCUAAAGCUAAAUACCGGCUAGAGACCGAUAGCGCACAAGUAGAGUGAUCGAAAGAUGAAAAGCACUUUGGAAAGAGAGUUAAAAAGCACGUGAAAUUGUUGAAAGGGAAGCGCAUGCAACCAGACUUGUCGGCGGUGUUCCGCCGGUCUUCUGACCGGUCUACUCGCCGCCGGCAGGCCAGCAUCGUGUGGGCGCGCCGGACAAAGGCGCCGGGAAUGUGGCCCCUCGGGGUGUUAUAGCCCGGCGCACAAUACGGUGCCGCCCGCGCGAGGUCCGCGCUUCGGCUAGGAUGCUGGCGUAAUGGUUGUCUGCGGCCCGUCUUGAAACACGGACCAAGGAGUCUAACAUCUAUGCGAGUGUUCGGGUGUCAAACCCCUACGCGGAAUGAAAGUGAACGGAGGUGGGAACCCUCACGGGUGCACCAUCGACCGAUCCUGAUGUCUUCGGAUGGAUUUGAGUAAGAGCAUAGCUGUUGGGACCCGAAAGAUGGUGAACUAUGCCUGAAUAGGGU